Molecule: ribosomal RNA, 426 nt
Filed under: uncultured bacterium
Lineage: Bacteria
Description: bacterial SSU rRNA
Rfam family: Bacterial small subunit ribosomal RNA
Source: RNAcentral
GGGGAAUCUUGCACAAUGGGCGAAAGCCUGAUGCAGCAACGCCGCGUGAGUGAAGAAGGUCUUUGGAUUGUAAAGCUCUUUCGGCCGGGAAGAAGGGUGGUUGUACGAAUAAUGCGAUCAUUUGACGGUACCGGAAGAAGAAGCACCUGCUAACUACGUGCCAGCAGCAGCGGUAAUACGUAGGGUGCAAGCGUUGUUCGGAAUGACUGGGCGUAAAGGGCGCGUAGGCGGGCUUGUAAGUUGGUUGUGAAAUCCCCGGGCUUAACCUGGGAACGGCAGCCAAAACUGCGAGUCUUGAAUGCCCGAGAGGUUAGUGGAAUUUCUGGUGUAGGAGUGAAAUCCGUAGAUAUCAGGAGGAACACCGGAGGCGAAGGCGGCUAACUGGUGGAGCAUUGACGCUGAGGCGCGAAAGCGUGGGUAGCAAAC